Molecule: transfer RNA, 66 nt
Filed under: Alpheus brevicristatus
Lineage: Eukaryota; Metazoa; Arthropoda; Malacostraca; Decapoda; Alpheidae
Description: tRNA-Pro
Source: RNAcentral
CAGAAAGUAGUUUAUGAAAAAUAUUAGUUUUGGGGAUUAAUGAUAGGGUUAGCUCCUUCUUUCUGA